UUUUAACAAAAUGGGAUUAGCACCAAUUAUCACUCUGUGUAUGAUUGGAGUGAUAUUCAAAGAUGUGCUCGCGCUACCAUACAUGUCCUCCGAUACAAAUACAAAAUUUGAAGCAACCAGAAAAGCAUUGACAGAUCUUGGAAAAAACAUAAAAAAAAUAAAUUAAAAAAGUUAGAUGACGACAUGGGAUCAUUAGUUUUAGAUUUUAAGAGUAAGUAAUUCCGCAUUUUGUGAAAUUGAUUGAAAGUUUUUAAAUUCUUACUAAAUAGAUAAGAAUAAAAUUAUUAUUCUUAUUAAAUUUCGUAAACUUUUGCAGACUUUAUUCAGAACAUUUCAAGUAUAAGCAUAUAGAAAACCAGAUUUUUAUUUCAUUGACGUUUACCACACAUCUUCCUUUAUUGUGUUCAUAAAAAAAAAUAUAUAUCGACUUACAUGUAGCACAUCGAGCAUGACACAUGUUUCCUGGUGUUUUGUAUUUGGUAUUGCGCGUGAACAAUUAGAAAAGAAAUAGGCCAUCAAAAGACAUUUGUAUAUUCGUUUAAAUAGCAGUCACCUGUAAUAUAUCACAGAUACACAUUUCGACAAUCAUUAUCUCUGCAUUAAUAUUCUAGUCUAAAAUUUGUAAAACUACAAAUAUCGAUGAUUUGCUAAUGUAAACAAAAACAACUUUUAAUAAAAUGUAAUAUAAACGAUUUUAAAAGAAUGAAGUAAUGAUAAAAAAAUAGCUUAUGAUUUUUGAACAGUUCUUUUUUGAAAAUCAUAAUUCAUAAUUUAACUAUUUAAUUUGCAAGAAGACGCAUGUAUCUUAUGUAACCAGAAAAAAACAUCCAAUCACCGUUUAUAUUUUAUACUUUUAAUUGAUAUUAAUAGGCUUUUAAUUGAUAUUAAUAGGAUUAAAAUAUUCAUUGUUACCUUAAAAGAGAAACAAUGGCAUAAAUACAAAGGACAUUGUUACUACUACGGGGCCGAAAAUCUUUCUUGGUUUGAGUCUGAGGAAAGAU
This 1001-nucleotide long non-coding RNA is filed under the name Mytilus galloprovincialis (Mediterranean mussel). Lineage: Eukaryota; Metazoa; Mollusca; Bivalvia; Mytilida; Mytilidae. The record is from RNAcentral.